AUUGAACGCUGGCGGCAGGCCUAACACAUGCAAGUCGAGCGGAUGAAGGGAGCUUGCUCCUGGAUUCAGCGGCGGACGGGUGAGUAAUGCCUAGGAAUCUGCCUGGUAGUGGGGGAUAACGUCCGGAAACGGGCGCUAAUACCGCAUACGUCCUGAGGGAGAAAGUGGGGGAUCUUCGGACCUCACGCUAUCAGAUGAGCCUAGGUCGGAUUAGCUAGUUGGUGGGGUAAAGGCCUACCAAGGCGACGAUCCGUAACUGGUCUGAGAGGAUGAUCAGUCACCUGGAAACGGAGACACGUCCCAGCCCCCGCCGGGGGGAGGCGGGGGGGAUUUUUGGAGAAGGGGCGAAAGCCUGACCCACCCAUGCGGGGUGUGGAAAGAAGUUCUGCGGUUUGAAAAGCAGUUUAAGUUGGGAGAAAGGGCAGUAAUUUAAUACCUUCUUUUUUUGACUUUACAAAAAAAAAAAGCCCCGCCUAACUUCGUC
This 484-nucleotide ribosomal RNA is filed under the name uncultured bacterium. RNAcentral describes it as "partial 16S ribosomal RNA". It matches the Rfam family "Bacterial small subunit ribosomal RNA", at positions 30 to 507 of the family's 1533-position model. The record is from RNAcentral.